RNAcentral lists this ribosomal RNA (253 nucleotides) under uncultured bacterium. RNAcentral describes it as "partial 16S ribosomal RNA". It matches the Rfam family "Bacterial small subunit ribosomal RNA", at positions 524 to 776 of the family's 1533-position model. The record is from RNAcentral.
GACGGAGGAUGCAAGUGUUAUCCGGCCUCACUGGGCGUAAAGCGUCUGUAGGUGGUCAAAUAAGUCAACUGUUAAAUCUUGAGGCUCAACCUCAAAAUCGCAGUCGAAACUAUUAGACUAGAGUAUAGUAGGGGUAAAGGGAAUUUCCAGUGGAGCGGUGAAAUGCGUAGAGAUUGGAAAGAACACCGAUGGCGAAGGCACUUUACUGGGCUAUUACUAACACUGAGAGACGAAAGCUAGUGUAGCAAAGGGG